Molecule: ribosomal RNA, 459 nt
Filed under: uncultured bacterium
Lineage: Bacteria
Description: partial 16S ribosomal RNA
Rfam family: Bacterial small subunit ribosomal RNA
Source: RNAcentral
CCUACGGGAGGCAGCAGUGAGGAAUAUUGGUCAAUGGCCGGGAGGCUGAACCAGCCAAGUCGCGUGAGGGAAGACGGCCCUACGGGUUGUAAACCUCUUUUGUCAGGGAGCAAGGUGCAGGUCGGGACCUGCUGUGAGAGUACCUGAAGAAAAAGCAUCGGCUAACUCCGUGCCAGCGGCCGCGGUAAUCCGGAGGAUCCGAGCGUUAUCCGGAUUUAUUGGGUUUAAAGGGUGCGCAGGCGGAGGCACAAGUCAGCGGUAAAAUCGCGGGGCUCAACCCCGCUCCGCCGUUGAAACUGUGGCCCUUGAGUGCGCGAAGGGUAGGCGGAAUGCGUGGUGUAGCGGUGAAAUGCAUAGAUAUCACGCAGAACUCCGAUCGCGAAGGCAGCCUACCGGCGCGCAACUGACGCUCAUGCACGAAAGCGUGGGUAUCGAACAGGAUUAGAUACCCCAGUAGUC